RNAcentral lists this transfer RNA (69 nucleotides) under Rattus norvegicus (Norway rat). It matches the Rfam family "tRNA". Rfam says of the family: Transfer RNA (tRNA) molecules are approximately 80 nucleotides in length. Their secondary structure includes four short double-helical elements and three loops (D, anti-codon, and T loops). The record is from Rfam by way of RNAcentral. Lineage: Eukaryota; Metazoa; Chordata; Mammalia; Rodentia; Muridae.
GGAGAUUUAGCUCAGUGGUAGAGUGCUUGCCUAGCAAGCACAAGGCCCUGGGUUCAGUCCCCAGCUCCG